CAUGAGUGGCGGACGGGUGAGUAACGCGUGGGCAACCUGGCCUGUACAGGGGGAUAACACUUAGAAAUAGGUGCUAAUACCGCAUAACGGGGGAAGCCGCAUGGCUUUUCCCUGAAAACUCCGGUGGUACAGGAUGGGCCCGCGUCUGAUUAGCCAGUUGGCAGGGUAACGGCCUACCAAAGCGACGAUCAGUAGCCGGCCUGAGAGGGCGGACGGCCACACUGGGACUGAGACACGGCCCAGACUCCUACGGAAGGCAGCAG
This 263-nucleotide ribosomal RNA is filed under the name uncultured bacterium. RNAcentral describes it as "partial 16S ribosomal RNA". It matches the Rfam family "Bacterial small subunit ribosomal RNA", at positions 90 to 354 of the family's 1533-position model. The record is from RNAcentral.